RNAcentral lists this ribosomal RNA (497 nucleotides) under uncultured bacterium. RNAcentral's name for it is "partial 16S ribosomal RNA". It matches the Rfam family "Bacterial small subunit ribosomal RNA", at positions 28 to 507 of the family's 1533-position model. The record is from RNAcentral.
GAUGAACGCUGGCGGCGUGCCUAAUACAUGCAAGUCGAGCGAACAGAUGAGGAGCUUGCUCCUCUGACGUUAGCGGCGGACGGGUGAGUAACACGUGGAUAACCUACCUAUAAGACUGGGAUAACUACGGGAAACCGGAGCUAAUACCGGAUAAUAUAUUGAACCGCAUGGUUCAAUAGUGAAAGACGGUUUUGCUGUCACUUAUAGAUGGAUCCGCGCCGCAUUAGCUAGUUGGUAGGGUAACGGCUUACCAAGGCAACGAUGCGUAGCCGACCUGAGAGGGUGAUCGGCCACACUGGAACUGAGACACGGUCCAGACUCCUACGGGAGGCAGCAGUAGGGAAUCUUCCGCAAUGGGCGAAAGCCUGACGGAGCAACGCCGCGUGAGUGAUGAAGGUCUUCGGAUCAUAAAACUCUGUUAUUAGGGAAGAACAAAUGUGUAAGUAACUAUGCACGUCUUGACGGUACCUAAUCAGAAAGCCACGGCUAACUACGUG